This 226-nucleotide ribosomal RNA is filed under the name Ochrobactrum sp. R-27045. Its description in RNAcentral is "16S ribosomal RNA". It matches the Rfam family "Bacterial small subunit ribosomal RNA", at positions 10 to 266 of the family's 1533-position model. The record is from RNAcentral. Lineage: Bacteria; Pseudomonadati; Pseudomonadota; Alphaproteobacteria; Hyphomicrobiales; Brucellaceae.
AGUUUGAUCCUGGCUCAGAACGAACGCUGGCGGCAGGCUUAACACAUGCAAGUCGAGCGCCCCGCAAGGGGAGCGGCAGACGGGUGAGUAACGCGUGGGAACGUACCUUUUGCUACGGAAUAACUCAGGGAAACUUGUGCUAAUACCGUAUGUGCCCUUCGGGGGAAAGAUUUAUCGGCAAAGGAUCGGCCCGCGUUGGAUUAGCUAGUUGGUGAGGUAAAGGCUC